Molecule: long non-coding RNA, 352 nt
Filed under: Elaeis guineensis (African oil palm)
Lineage: Eukaryota; Viridiplantae; Streptophyta; Magnoliopsida; Arecales; Arecaceae
Description: long non-coding RNA (EGUI_LNC046650)
Source: RNAcentral
AUAAACAAAAGCGGCCAGGGGGAGGGGCGCUAGCCCGAUCAGUUGGCCCGGGAAGCUCAAGCUCAUACUCCGGAGGAACUCCGUAUUGAAUCUUAAUCAGCGAGAGUUCGUCCGAGGUCAAAGAGUUGGAAAUGGUGUAUGGUACAAAGAUCGAACGAGGUCCGACCCUAAGUAUGGGUUCAUCUACAGUACUAGGAUUUUGGGGGGCUGGAACGGAUGAACUUCUAGAACUGCUAGAGGAGGAAGUGUUGGAGGAUAUUUUGAAUCAAAUAAGAAUCCCAAAAAAAUUGGAAAAAAUAGGAAACAAGGCGCUCGUAGAGAAAGCGAAAGGGCGGAAUGCAGAGGAGGAAAA